UGGCGGACGGGUGAGUAACGCGUUGGUGACCUACCCCAAAGUGUGGGAUAACAGUUCGAAAGAACUGCUAACACCGCAUGUGGUUAUCGGGUUUAGAAACUGAUAACUAAAGGAGCAAUUCGCUUUGGGAGGGACCUGCGUCCCAUCAGCUAGUUGGUGAGGUAACGGCUCACCAAGGCGACGACGGGUAGGGGACCUGAGAGGGUGACCCCCCACAAUGGAACUGAAACACGGUCCAUACACCUACGGGUGGCAGCAGUAGGGAAUAUUGCACAAUGGGCGAAAGCCUGAUGCAGCAACGCCGCGUGUGCGAUGAAGGCCUUCGGGUCGUAAAGCACUUUUCUGAGAGAUGAGCAAGGACAGUAUCUCAGGAAUAAGUCUCGGCUAACUACGUGCCAGCAGCCGCGGUAAU
Molecule: ribosomal RNA, 412 nt
Filed under: uncultured bacterium
Lineage: Bacteria
Description: bacterial SSU rRNA
Rfam family: Bacterial small subunit ribosomal RNA
Source: RNAcentral